Molecule: non-coding RNA, 24 nt
Filed under: Arabidopsis thaliana (thale cress)
Lineage: Eukaryota; Viridiplantae; Streptophyta; Magnoliopsida; Brassicales; Brassicaceae
Source: RNAcentral
AUACGUACAUUGACGGGUUAUCUA